Molecule: non-coding RNA, 45 nt
Filed under: Trichobilharzia regenti
Lineage: Eukaryota; Metazoa; Platyhelminthes; Trematoda; Strigeidida; Schistosomatidae
Source: RNAcentral
AUCAGGCUGACGAGUUCAAAAUAGGACGAAAUUCUCAUCCUAGAU